Molecule: long non-coding RNA, 502 nt
Organism: Sinocyclocheilus grahami
Lineage: Eukaryota; Metazoa; Chordata; Actinopteri; Cypriniformes; Cyprinidae
Exons: 4
Source: RefSeq, a predicted model, not a curated record
GAUCUGAACCGUCAUUGGCAGGACCCUUCCCCUUGGGCCCAUCCCACUCUACAUGCCGUCAAACAACUCAUUGUCCAAAUGAACCAAGACCCAAAAGUGAGUUUGGAGUUCUACAUCGACGUGCACGCCCACUCCACCAUGAUGAAUGGCUUCAUGUAUGGUAAUGUCUUUGAGGAAGAGGAGAGAGGGCAGAGACAGGCCGUUUUUCCUCGACUUCUGUGUCAAAACGCGCCUGACUUCUCUCUUUCCAGUACAUCGUUUAACCGUGAUGUGGUCAAGGCUGGUACCGGCCGACGGUUCCUGGGUGGUCUGCUGGAUGACACAUAAUACUGCUACACACUGGAGGUCUCCUUCUACAGCUACCUGACAGCAGGAAGCACCUCACCUGUGCCGUACACUGAGGAUGGCUACAUGAAGCUGGGCAGAAACGUGGCCCGGACAUUCCUGGAUUACUACAAACUGAACAACCUGAUAGAUGAAAGCAAACUCACAGGACACAUUA